GAUUGUUAUAUAGAGUCUGGCCUGCCCACUGACAUACGUUAAAGGGCCGCGGUAUUUUGACCGUGCGAAGGUAGCAUAAUCAUUAGUCUUUUAAUUGGAGGCUUGUAUGAAUGGUUGGACAAAAAAUAAGCUGUCUCUGUUUUAAAUCUUGAAUUUAACUUUUAAGUGAAAAGGCUUAAAUGGUCUGGGGGGACGAUAAGACCCUAUAAAGCUUUACAGUUUGUUGAUUAAAUUAUAAAUUGUUAGUGUGAACUUAAUUUAUUUGAUAGCUGUUUCGUUGGGGCGACGAAAAUAUAAUAAAUAGUAACUGUUUUUCUUUUAUAAUAACAAUGAUUUUUGGUAGUAAUUGAUCCUUUAUUAAAGAUUAAAAGAUUAAGUUACUUUAGGGAUAACAGCGUAAUCUUCUUUGAGAGUCCAUAUCGACAAGAAGGGUUGCGACCUCGAUGUUGAAUUAAGGUUUCCUUGAGGUGUAGCAGUUUCAGGGAGGGUCUGUUCGACCCUUA
RNAcentral lists this ribosomal RNA (503 nucleotides) under Metapenaeus ensis. RNAcentral's name for it is "partial 16S ribosomal RNA". It matches the Rfam family "Bacterial large subunit ribosomal RNA", at positions 1836 to 2590 of the family's 2925-position model. Lineage: Eukaryota; Metazoa; Arthropoda; Malacostraca; Decapoda; Penaeidae. The record is from RNAcentral.